This 2153-nucleotide ribosomal RNA is filed under the name Mycobacteroides abscessus subsp. abscessus. RNAcentral's name for it is "bacterial LSU rRNA". It matches the Rfam family "Bacterial large subunit ribosomal RNA", at positions 1 to 1996 of the family's 2925-position model. Lineage: Bacteria; Bacillati; Actinomycetota; Actinomycetes; Mycobacteriales; Mycobacteriaceae. The record is from RNAcentral.
GUAAGUUAUUAAGGGCACACGGUGGAUGCCUUGGCAUCAAGAGCCGAUGAAGGACGUGUGAAUCUGCGAUAAGCCUCGGGGAGUCGAUAACAGGACGUUGAUUCGAGGAUUUCCGAAUGGGGGAACCCAGCAUGCUGUGAGGUGUGUUACCACCAGUUGAAUGUAUAGGCUGGUUGGGGGGAACGCGGGGAAGUGAAACAUCUCAGUACCCGCUGGAAGAGAAAAUAAAUAAUGAUUCUGUGAGUAGUGGCGAGCGAAAGCGGAUGAGACUAAACCUGUGGUGUGUGAUACCGGUUGAGGGUUGCAUCAUGGGGGUUGUGGGAGUCAACGUGGUAGGUUCAAUCGCCUGCUGAGUCGAUGUUGUGUUGUGUAGGUGAACAUCUUGGGAUGGAUGGCCGGAGAGGGUGAGAGUCCCGUAACCGAAAUGUGGCACGCCGAUUGUUGAUCACCCGAGUAGCACGGAACUCGUGGAAUUUCGUGUGAAUCUGCCAGGACCACCUGGUAAGUCUAAAUACUUCUUGAUGACCGAUAGUGAAUCAGUACCGUGAGGGAAUGGUGAAAAGUACCCCGGGAGGGGAGUGAAAUAGUACCUGAAACCGUGUGCUUACAAGCCGUUGGAGCCUUGUGGGGUGACAGCGUGCCUUUUGAAGAAUGAGCCUGCGAGUUAGUGUUCUGUCGCGAGGUUAACCCGUGUGGGGAAGCCGUAGCGAAAGCGAGUCUGAAUAGGGCGUUUGAGUGGCAGGAUCUAGACCCGAAGCGGAGUGAUCUAUCCAUGGCCAGGUUGAAGCGACGGUAAGACGUCGUGGAGGACCGAACCCACUUCAGUUGAAAAUGGAGGGGAUGAGCUGUGGAUAGGGGUGAAAGGCCAAUCAAACUCUGUGAUAGCUGGUUCUCCCCGAAAUGCAUUUAGGUGCAGCGUCGUGUGUUUCUUGUUGGAGGUAGAGCUACUGGUUGGCCGAUGGGCCGUAUUGGUUACUGACGUCAGCCAAACUCCGAAUGCCAAUAAGUGAGAGCGCGGCAGUGAGACAGUGGGGGAUAAGCUUCAUUGUCGAGAGGGAAACAGCCCAGACCAUCAAUUAAGGUCCCUAAGCGUGUACUAAGUGGGAAAGGAUGUGGAGUUGCUGAGACAACCAGGAGGUUGGCUUAGAAGCAGCCAUCCUUGAAAGAGUGCGUAAUAGCUCACUGGUCAAGUGAUUCUGCGCCGAUAAUGUAGCGGGGCUCAAGUACACCACCGAAAUUAUGGCAAUGUGUUUUAGACAUGUUGGGUAGGGGAGCGUCGUGUAUCCGGUGAAGCUGCGGUGUGAACUAGUGGUGGAGGGUAUGCGAGUGAGAAUGCAGGCAUGAGUAGCGAAUCACGGGUGAGAAACCCGUGCGCCGGAUGAUCAAGGGUUCCAGGGUCAAGCUAAUCUGCCCUGGGUUAGUCGGGGCCUAAGGCGAGGCCGACAGGCGUAGUCGAUGGAUAACGGGUUGAUAUUCCCGUACCGACGAAGAACCGUCCAUACUGAUAUUUUGAUGCUAACUGUGCGAAGCGACUUGUAACCCUCACUUUGUGGGGGAGCUUGUUGUGGGUUGCAGGACCCGAUGAGUGGAGGUAAACGUAUUAACAGGUGUGACGCAGGAAGGUAGCCGAGCCACGCGAUGGUUGUCGUGGUCUAAGCGUGUAGGGUAUCCGGUUGUUAAAUGCGCUGGUGUUUGCCUGAGACGUGAUGGGACCCCGUUUGUGGGGGAUUUGGUGAUCCUAUGCUGCCGAGAAAAGCAUCGACGUGAGGUUCUAGUUGCCCGUACCCUAAACCGACACAGGUGAUCAGGUAGAGAAUACUAAGGCGAUCGAGAGAAUCAUGGUUAAGGAACUCGGCAAAAUGCCCCCGUAACUUCGGGAGAAGGGGGACCUUGAGCGUGGAGGGCACUUGCUGCCCCGAGCGUGUAUGGGUCGCAGAGACCAGGGGGAAGCGACUGUUUAUCAAAAACACAGGUCCAUGCGAAGUCGUAAGACGAUGUAUAUGGACUGACUCCUGCCCGGUGCUGGAAGGUUAAGAGGAUUGGUUAGCUCUUUGGGCGAAGCUGAGAAUUUAAGCCCCAGUAAACGGCGGUGGUAACUAUAACCAUCCUAAGGUAGCGAAAUUCCUUGUCGGGUAAGUUCCGACCUGCACGAA